Molecule: ribosomal RNA, 460 nt
Filed under: uncultured bacterium
Lineage: Bacteria
Description: partial 16S ribosomal RNA
Rfam family: Bacterial small subunit ribosomal RNA
Source: RNAcentral
CCUACGGGAGGCAGCAGUGAGGAAUAUUGGUCAAUGGGCGUAAGCCUGAACCAGCCAAGUCGCGUGAGGGAUGAAGGUUCUAUGGAUCGUAAACCUCUUUUAUCAGGGAAUAAAGUGUGGGACGUGUCCUGUUUUGUAUGUACCUUAUGAAUAAGGAUCGGCUAACUCCGUGCCAGCAGCCGCGGUAAUACGGAGGAUCCGAGCGUGAUCCGGAUUUAUUGGGUUUAAAGGGUGCGUAGGCGGCCUUUUAAGUCAGCGGUGAAAGUCUGUGGCUCAACCAUAGAAUUGCCGUUGAAACUGGGAGGCUUGAGUAUGUUUGAGGCAGGCGGAAUGCGUGGUGUAGCGGUGAAAUGCUUAGAUAUCACGCAGAACCCCGAUUGCGAAGGCAGCCUGCCAAGCCAUGACUGACGCUGAUGCACGAAAGCGUGGGGAUCAAACAGGAUUAGAUACCCCAGUAGUC